UUGAUCAUGGCUCAGGAUGAACGUUGGCGGUGUGCCUAAUACAUGCAAGUCGAACGGAGUUAGUAGCAAUACUGGCUCAGUGGCGAACGGGUGAGUAACGCGUUGGUGAUCUGCCUUGAAGUGUGGAACAACGUUUCGAAAGGAACGCUAAUACCGCAUGUGCUCUCGAUUUUCAGAAAGUUGAGAGUAAAGGAUUUAUUCGCUUCAAGAGGAGCCUGCGUCCCAUCAGCUGGUUGGUAGGGUAACGGCCUACCAAGGCUAUGACGGGUAGGGGACCUGAGAGGGUGGCCCCCCACAAUGGAACUGAAACACGGUCCAUACACCUACGGGUGGCAGCAGUAGGGAAUAUUAGAAAUGGACGAAAGUCUGAUCUAGCAACACCGCGUGUGCGAAGAAGGCCUUCGGGUCGUAAAGCACUUUUUGGNAAGGAAUAGGAAGGAAUGUACUUCCAGAAUAAGUCUCGGCUAACUACGUGCCAGCA
This 481-nucleotide ribosomal RNA is filed under the name bacterium enrichment culture clone 6. RNAcentral's name for it is "bacterial SSU rRNA". It matches the Rfam family "Bacterial small subunit ribosomal RNA", at positions 13 to 513 of the family's 1533-position model. The record is from RNAcentral.